RNAcentral lists this ribosomal RNA (254 nucleotides) under uncultured bacterium. RNAcentral's name for it is "partial 16S ribosomal RNA". It matches the Rfam family "Bacterial small subunit ribosomal RNA", at positions 524 to 776 of the family's 1533-position model. The record is from RNAcentral.
UACGUAGGCAGCGAGCGUUGUUCGGAGUUACUGGGCGUAAAGGGUGUGUAGGCGGUUCUUUUAAGUUUGGUGUGAAAUCUCCCGGCUCAACCGGGAGGGUGCGUCGAAUACUGAGGGACUAGAGUGCGGGAGAGGAAAGUGGAAUUCCUGGUGUAGCGGUGAAAUGCGUAGAUAUCAGGAGGAACACCGGUGGUGUAGACGGCUUUCUGGACCGUAACUGACGCUGAGGCGCGAAAGCGUGGGGAGCGAACAGG